UACGAGGGGGGCUAGCGUUGCUCGGAAUCACUGGGCGUAAAGGGUGCGUAGGCGGGUCUUUAAGUCAGGGGUGAAAUCCUGGAGCUCAACUCCAGAACUGCCUUUGAUACUGAAGAUCUUGAGUUCGGGAGAGGUGAGUGGAACUGCGAGUGUAGAGGUGAAAUUCGUAGAUAUUCGCAAGAACACCAGUGGCGAAGGCGGCUCACUGGCCCGAUACUGACGGCUGAGGCACGAAAGCGUGGGGAGCAAACAGGG
RNAcentral lists this ribosomal RNA (255 nucleotides) under uncultured bacterium. RNAcentral's name for it is "partial 16S ribosomal RNA". It matches the Rfam family "Bacterial small subunit ribosomal RNA", at positions 524 to 777 of the family's 1533-position model. The record is from RNAcentral.